GCACGGCUUGUCUAUUGGAUCAAGUUAUUAUAUUCUAUCCCUUUUAAAAGAGUUUCAUCAUCAAAACUUAACAUAUCUUUAUUCUUAAAUGAUUAAAGAUACUUAGUCUUCAAAUCAUUUUUACCAUACUUUCACUAUGCAACCCUGAUCUAAAUCCAUGCUUAAUUAGAACUCAAUACUCUAGGCCAUUUUUUAUUAACACUAUAAAUCAUAAAUCUCAGCCUAAUUUUCUAUCUACGAUCAAACUUGUCUUUGAUACCAC
RNAcentral lists this long non-coding RNA (262 nucleotides) under Elaeis guineensis (African oil palm). RNAcentral's name for it is "long non-coding RNA (EGUI_LNC073020)". Lineage: Eukaryota; Viridiplantae; Streptophyta; Magnoliopsida; Arecales; Arecaceae. The record is from RNAcentral.